RNAcentral lists this transfer RNA (71 nucleotides) under bacterium. RNAcentral's name for it is "tRNA-Gly". It matches the Rfam family "tRNA". Rfam says of the family: Transfer RNA (tRNA) molecules are approximately 80 nucleotides in length. The record is from RNAcentral.
GCGACCAUAGUUUAAUGGCAGAAUAGUUGCUUCCCAAGCAACGGAUGUGGGUUCGAUUCCCGCUGGUCGCA